AGGGUGGGCCGGACGGUCGCGUCGUGGCCGCGGUGGCGGCGCACGGCGAGGAAAGUCCGAACUCCGCAGGGCAGGGUGGUCGGUAACACCGACCCGCCGUAAGGCGGGGAAAGUGCCACAGAAAACAAACCGCCCCGACGGCUGCGUUCGGGGUAAGGGUGAAACGGUGGGGUAAGAGCCCACCGCUCCGGCGGCGACGUCGGAGGCACGGCAAACCCCACCCGGAGCAAGGCCAAAUAGGAGGGGAUGGACUGGCCCGGUCCGCUUGACCCUCGGGUAGGCCGCUCGAUCCCGGUGGCAACAUCGGGACCAGAUAGAUGACCGUCUCGGCUCCGCUGAAACGCGGGGCUCAGACAGAAUUCGGCUUACAGGCCCACCCACGAA
Molecule: RNase P RNA, 384 nt
Filed under: bacterium
Lineage: Bacteria
Description: RNase P RNA component class A
Rfam family: Bacterial RNase P class A
About the family: Ribonuclease P (RNase P) is a ubiquitous endoribonuclease, found in archaea, bacteria and eukarya as well as chloroplasts and mitochondria. Its best characterised activity is the generation of mature 5'-ends of tRNAs by cleaving the 5'-leader elements of precursor-tRNAs.
Source: RNAcentral